GUGAUAACGAACAGUCCAUUACAUAGAAGAAAAAUGACAGCAAUUCUGUAUAUUUUUUUCACUCUCUGCCUUAGACACCAGAUUCUAGAGAUCGCGGGAUGCACAGUCCAAGUCAAAGGAAUAACAUCUAAUAUUCCGGAGUACCAAGUGAGUGAUGACGAAAAUGGAUGGAAAAUUACGAUUACUGAAGAAAGAGAAAACCUCUGGAGACAGGGAGUGAUAAAUCGAGCACUUGAAAUUUAAAUCGAAUCCUUUCAAUGUUCGAGUUCAAAACAGCAAUCAUAGGACCCACCGAGGAAAUAAAAGAAAUCGAAGGAGAAAUUUGUAUGGAAGACGACGAAACCGCAGAAUCAGUCAUUGCCCAGAUACUCCGUACAGCAAUGAAUUACGAUGAUUGCCCUCUCCCUGUGAGUGAAUAUGAGGUGGUGAACGAAUUUGAAAUUGAAGUAAGUCCCCUUGAAGAGUAUUUACCUUCAGGUUUUACUCAAGCAUAUGCAGCAAUUGGUCUUUAUGGACCAGAUAAUGACGGUUCGGCGGAUGCAGAUGCAAUUUGGUUCAUCGCGAUAAACGAAUGAAAAAAAAAAAAAAA
This is a long non-coding RNA of Fopius arisanus, 589 nucleotides long. RefSeq lists it as uncharacterized. NCBI's taxonomy places the organism in Eukaryota, Metazoa, Arthropoda, Insecta, Hymenoptera, Braconidae. The transcript is spliced from 4 exons. The record is from RefSeq and is a predicted model, not a curated record.